Molecule: ribosomal RNA, 170 nt
Filed under: uncultured bacterium
Lineage: Bacteria
Description: partial 16S ribosomal RNA
Rfam family: Eukaryotic small subunit ribosomal RNA
Source: RNAcentral
GAUUCCUACGGGAGGCAGCAGGCGCGAAAAUUGCCCAAUCCCGAUACGGGGAGGCAGUGACAAGAAAUAACAACUCUCAACAUUCGUUGAGAAGUGUAAUGAGGAUAAUUUACAAACCUUACCGAAAGCAAUUGGAGGGCAAGUCUGGUGCCAGCAGCCGCGGUAAUAAU